Molecule: long non-coding RNA, 547 nt
Filed under: Gallus gallus (chicken)
Lineage: Eukaryota; Metazoa; Chordata; Aves; Galliformes; Phasianidae
Source: RNAcentral
CUCCAGAUCUCUGAUGAACCUUUCUACCCUUUCCUGAAACUCUUCUAUUCCAAGACCAACUUUUUGAGAUGAUAGCACUGAUGUGCAAGCACGCCACAAGUUCUACAAGGCUAUUGUGUCUGGAGCUAAGAUCCAGGUCUCAUCCCAAGGACUACUCAAGAAUCACAGUGGUGGGAAUUAAGCUCAGGGUGUUCCUUAUCCCAUCACAGCUGGAUGAGUUCUAGUCUUAUUUUGUCAGCAAAGUAGAAGGAGCAAGCACAGUUUGCAGAUGGCAUAAUUUGAGGAAUGCCUUUCAAUUCCUCCUCCAGCAUGUAAAAUCUUCUCCGCAGCAGACUGUCCCACUCCUACUCUAGGAUUUCAAGAAGGUUUAGUCUUAUUAUUACUCUUGCUAACAGAAAACACUGGAAUAGAUUCUUUCUUAUAUCAUUGAAAAGAGUGAGUUGCAUCCAAAUGUAAACAUUUAGAUAGUUCACACUCAUUUCAGUGACAUUUUCCAUUUUGUUAUGAAAAACAUUUGCAUUAGCAAGGUAAUGAAGAUUUUUGCAGC